RNAcentral lists this transfer RNA (85 nucleotides) under Felis catus (domestic cat). It matches the Rfam family "tRNA". From Rfam's summary of the family: Transfer RNA (tRNA) molecules are approximately 80 nucleotides in length. Their secondary structure includes four short double-helical elements and three loops (D, anti-codon, and T loops). Further hydrogen bonds mediate the characteristic L-shaped molecular structure. tRNAs have two regions of fundamental functional importance: the anti-codon, which is responsible for specific mRNA codon recognition, and the 3' end, to which the tRNAs corresponding amino acid is attached (by aminoacyl-tRNA synthetases). tRNAs cope with the degeneracy of the genetic code in two manners: having more than one tRNA (with a specific anti-codon) for a particular amino acid; and 'wobble' base-pairing, i.e. permitting non-standard base-pairing at the 3rd anti-codon position. The record is from Rfam by way of RNAcentral. Lineage: Eukaryota; Metazoa; Chordata; Mammalia; Carnivora; Felidae.
GCCCGGGUGGCUCAGUCCGUCAAGCGUCCGACUUCGGCUCAGGUCACGAUCUCACAGUCCGUGGGUUCGAGCCCCGCCUUGGGCU